GAUGAAGAACGCAGCGAAAUGCGAUAGGUAAUGUGAAUUGCAGAAUUCAGUGAAUCAUCGAAUCUUUGAACGCACAUUGCGCCCCCUGGUAUUCCGGGGGGCAUGCCUGUUCGAGCGUCAUUUCACCACUCAAGCCUCGCUUGGUAUUGGGCAACGCGGUCCGCCGCGUGCCUCAAAUCGACCGGCUGGGUCUUCUGUCCCCUAAGCGUUGUGGAAACUAUUCGCUAAAGGGUGUUCGGGAGGCUACGCCGUAAAACAACCCCAUUUCUAAGGUUGACCUCGGAUCAGGUAGGGAUACCCGCUGAACUUAAGCAUAUCAAUAAGCGGAGGA
Molecule: unclassified non-coding RNA, 331 nt
Filed under: soil metagenome
Description: partial contains 5.8S ribosomal RNA, internal transcribed spacer 2, and large subunit ribosomal RNA
Rfam family: 5.8S ribosomal RNA (bases 1-120)
Source: RNAcentral